RNAcentral lists this ribosomal RNA (218 nucleotides) under uncultured bacterium. Its description in RNAcentral is "partial 16S ribosomal RNA". It matches the Rfam family "Bacterial small subunit ribosomal RNA", at positions 1282 to 1500 of the family's 1533-position model. The record is from RNAcentral.
ACAGUCUCAGUUCGGAUUGUAGUCUGCAACUCGACUACAUGAAGCUGGAAUCGCUAGUAAUCGCAAAUCAGAAUGUUGCGGUGAAUACGUUCCCGGGUCUUGUACACACCGCCCGUCACACCAUGGGAGUUGGAAGCACCCGAAGUCUGUGAGCUAACUUUUAGAGGCAGCAGUCGAAGGUAGAAUCAAUGAUUGGGGUGAAGUCGUAACAAGGUAUC